RNAcentral lists this ribosomal RNA (502 nucleotides) under gamma proteobacterium UQ1. RNAcentral describes it as "bacterial SSU rRNA". It matches the Rfam family "Bacterial small subunit ribosomal RNA", at positions 8 to 501 of the family's 1533-position model. Lineage: Bacteria; Pseudomonadati; Pseudomonadota; Gammaproteobacteria. The record is from RNAcentral.
AGAGUUUGAUCCUGGCUCAGAUUGAACGCUGGCGGCAGGCUUAACACAUGCAAGUCGAGCGGUAACAGGGGAGCUUGCUCCUGCUGACGAGCGGCGGACGGGUGAGUAACGCGUAGGAAUCUGCCUAGUAGAGGGGGACAACAUGUGGAAACGCAUGCUAAUACCGCAUACGCCCUAAGGGGGAAAGGAGGGGACUCUUCGGAGCCUUCCGCUAUUAGAUGAGCCUGCGUGAGAUUAGCUAGUUGGUAGGGUAAAGGCCUACCAAGGCGACGAUCUCUAACUGGUCUGAGAGGAUGACCAGUCACACUGGGACUGAGACACGGCCCAGACUCCUACGGGAGGCAGCAGUGGGGAAUAUUGGACAAUGGGCGCAAGCCUGAUCCAGCCAUGCCGCGUGUGUGAAGAAGGCCUUAGGGUUGUAAAGCACUUUCAGGGGUGAGGAAGGGUAAUGGAUUAAUACUUCAUUACUUUGACGUUAGCCCCAGAAGAAGCACCGGCUAAC